RNAcentral lists this ribosomal RNA (470 nucleotides) under uncultured bacterium. RNAcentral's name for it is "partial 16S ribosomal RNA". It matches the Rfam family "Bacterial small subunit ribosomal RNA", at positions 355 to 813 of the family's 1533-position model. The record is from RNAcentral.
UGGGGAAUAUUGCACAAUGGGCGCAAGCCUGAUGCAGCCAUGCCGCGUGUGUGAAGAAGGCCUUCGGGUUGUAAAGCACUUUCAGCGAGGAGGAAGGUGGUGAGCUUAAUACGCUCAUCAAUUGACGUUACUCGCAGAAGAAGCACCGGCUAACUCCGUGCCAGCAGCCGCGGUAAUACGGAGGGUGCAAGCGUUAAUCGGAAUUACUGGGCGUAAAGCGCACGCAGGCGGUUUGUUAAGUCAGAUGUGAAAUCCCCGGGCUCAACCUGGGAACUGCAUUUGAAACUGGCAAGCUAGAGUCUCGUAGAGGGGGGCUAGAAUUUCCAGGUGUAGCGGUGAAAUGCGUAGAGAUCUGGAGGAAUACCGGUGGCGAAGGCGGCCCCCCUGGACGAAGACUGACGCUCAGGUGCGAAAGCGUGGGGCAGCAAACAGGAUUAGAUACCCUGGUAGUCCACGCUGUAAACGAUGUC